Acanthosepion pharaonis is the source of this 96-nucleotide non-coding RNA. The record is from the annotation of a GenBank genome assembly. NCBI's taxonomy places the organism in Eukaryota, Metazoa, Mollusca, Cephalopoda, Sepiida, Sepiidae.
UUCAAACACCUGUUCUAGUAAGAUCACCGAAGUUAAGCAUCCUCGAGCCUGGUUAGUAUCUAGAUGGGUGAACGGUUGGGAAUGCCAAGUGCUAUA